CCUCAAACCUCCUUCCCAAACAAUGAACCCACCGAUGUGGGACUUGGGAUUAAGCCAAAAUCAACAAAUCUCCACCUUGGCUUAAUUUCAAGUCCCACCUAAAACAAAUCUUCUCAAAACAUAACAAAAACAAACUUUACAGUGCUUCAAAUUUGCGCCUCCGGGCGCCAACUUCAAAUGUGCAAAAUAUUAACCAAGUCUAAACAAUGUUCAAACUUGGCCCUUGUAACCACCUUGCCUUGUAGCGAAC
Molecule: long non-coding RNA, 250 nt
Filed under: Phaseolus vulgaris (common bean)
Lineage: Eukaryota; Viridiplantae; Streptophyta; Magnoliopsida; Fabales; Fabaceae
Description: long non-coding RNA (PVUL_LNC002308)
Source: RNAcentral